GACGAACGCUGGCGGCGUGCUUAACACAUGCAAGUCGAGCGGUAAGGCCUCUUCGGGUGUACACGAGCGGCGAACGGGUGAGUAACACGUGGGUGACCUUCCCUCAGCUCUUUGAUAAGCCUGGUAAACUGGGUCUACUACCGCUUAUGACCUUUCCUCGCUUGGGGUUUGGUGGAAAGUUUUUUCGGCUUGGGAUGGUCCCGCGGACGAUCAUCUUGUUGGUGGGGUGAUGGCCUACCAAGGCGACGACGGGUAGCCGGGCUGAUGGGGCGACCGGCAGACCUGGAACGGAGACACGGGCCAGAAAUCUACGGGAAGGAGCAGUGGGGAGUAUUGGGCAAAGCGCGGAAGUGUAGCGGAGCGACGGGGCGUGGGGGAUGACGGUCGGCGGGUAAAAAAACUCUGUCGACACCGACGAAUUUGGACGGUAGGGGAAGAAGAAGCACCGGCCAACUACGUG
RNAcentral lists this ribosomal RNA (460 nucleotides) under uncultured bacterium. RNAcentral describes it as "partial 16S ribosomal RNA". It matches the Rfam family "Bacterial small subunit ribosomal RNA", at positions 28 to 507 of the family's 1533-position model. The record is from RNAcentral.